Molecule: unclassified non-coding RNA, 2996 nt
Filed under: Hevea brasiliensis (rubber tree)
Lineage: Eukaryota; Viridiplantae; Streptophyta; Magnoliopsida; Malpighiales; Euphorbiaceae
Source: RNAcentral
UCAUUGUGUUCAUGUAGCUGGUCCAAUUUAGUUUCCAAUAAACUAUCUAAUACAACACAAGGAGAUAAAGAUAGUGUAGCAAUGUGAUAUAGCUGAUUUUUUUCUUGAAGAACAGGCUUAAAAAGUAAAAAUUCAACAUAUGAAGAUGAGAAGCAAAUUGAUUGUUGCGCAUCUCCUCUACAGUUUCCCAGAUAUGGGGGAAGAAGAAUGGGGUCUUGGCGCGACAGAAGUUGCUCUAGUUUCCUUGGAACAUUUAUAAUUGCAGGGGCUUGGUCUUGCUUUAGUUUCCUUGUCAUCUUCAGCUAAUUGGAACUCAUAUCCUAGAACAGGCAGAGGAUUUCCUUCCAGAAAGCUACAUUGAAUUGGGAAGCCAUGAGCACAUCUGCAUGAAAUCUCGGCAGUGGUGAAGUUUCCACUGUUUUCUGGGCUUUCAGUGUCUGCCCAUGCAGGACCAUAAAGAGAUACCUGGGAUUUCAGUCAAAGUAUCACGGUUAAUUUAAUAUAUUCCAUGCAAACAAAACUAUCAUUCAUGUACCAUCAACGAAAAGUACAAAUUUUAACAACUGCAAGACUUCAGUGUAAUUAAAUUUCAAAUUUUGAAAACAAAUUGUUAAUUCUAACACAAUAAAUAUUUAAGUGCAUUUUAAACAAAUUUCAGAGAAUCUUUUUAUAAUUAACCCCAAAGAUAAAAUGAGAAGAUUGAACGGUUACAAGUUUGUCUCUGAACAGGGCAACAUAUACAACCCAGACAAGUUACAAAUCAGAGAGUACCCAUAAAUUAAGUUGGAAGUCGUGAAAAAAUAAAAAGAGAAAGGCAACCAAAUAUUGAAUUUCAAUGAAGUACAGUUACGCCCCUUGUUCCAGUUAAUAUAUCUACCGUCCACUUAGAAAAAUUGCCCCCAAUUACCCCCACCUUAUAUAUGGAGGUGCUCUACCAAGGGAAAAAUGGACCAAUGAUACAAUGUAGGUUCCUAAACUCAACCGAAAGAGGUCGAACCAAGGGCACUGGCAACAACAAAUUUUUCUGCUCAAGCUCCUGUACCAGCAAAUUAACGUGUACGCUACAAGGCCUCGGUUCCUUUUUCUCUGUCCUCUAGCCUGCAAUGCUGAGAUCAAGCAUCAAGUGCACCAAGUGCUUUCAUGUCCUCCAAAAACGCCAUAUAUGAGUCAUCAAUACUCUGAGUCUUUGGAGCUGGUGGCAAUUUAGUGGACUCUGGCUUCAUGAUGGUAGGAGCAGCCGGUCUGAUGACUGCUGCUGAUGCAGUUGAAACUGUUGGCUUGGGUUUGGAUUUUGGAACAGCAGUCUCUCUCCUUACGCGAACUGAAGCAGGAACCAUAGCUGUAAGUUCUGCAGUGUGCUGUGCUAAUGGCCUCUUAACAACAGUAGAUGCAGCAGAUUUGACAUAAGAUGGCUUCUGAGGAAUGGGUGGCCUUAUUGCAGGAUCUUCUUGUAAGGUAGGAGGAGGACCAGGUGGAAGUGGUGGUCUCAUCAUUGGAGGAGGUCCAGGGGGAGGACCAUAUGGUGGUCUUGGCAUUAGUGGAACCAUCACUCCUGGAGGAGCCACUUGGCCAGGAAGUCCGGUAGCAGCCCCUGGUGCCCGCAUACCUGGUGGAGGUGGGGGUCCAGGCAAAUGUGAUAUUCCUGGGGGCAAUACAUCAGGCUGUAAUGUGGGAAUCACAGUUGGCCCAGCCACAGGAGGUGGUUGCCGUGGAGGAGGUGGUGGGGGAACCAUUUUAAGGUUAUCCUUAGUUGCUGUUGGAUUAUCACCAUUAGCUUCAGAUGAGGUGCCUUCAGACUGAUUGAUGGCUGACUUCAGCAGCAUACUAGGAGGAGGAGGUGGUGGGGGGAGUACAGUAGGCACAUGAAUUGUUUCUUUGGAUGAUGGUUCAUCUGACAAGGUAGAUAAAUUUCUUUCCCUUUCAAUUUCAUUAGUGCCAGGUGGAGGUGGCUGAGCAGACUGUUGGAGGGGAGAAGGCGGUGGUAGGAAGGUGUGACUUGAAACUUGAUCUUUUGGUGGGGGGCCUGGUGGAGGUGGAGGUGGAGGCGGAGGCGGAGGCAGUGACAUGCCCAACCCUGGUGCAGGAGGCUUUGGUGGCAUGGGAGGAGGUGGAGGUAGAGGCAAAGAAGCAGGUAUAACAGAGUUAUCACCAGAGGCCACGUUAGUGCUCUCUGGCAAAGGCGGAGGUGGGGGAGGUGGCGGGGGAAGCACUGCUAAGGUACCAUCAUCCGACUCUGUAUUUGAGGACGAUGCGGCAGUGCUUGAUGAAGCAGCAGCAGAUAAGGGAAUCCGAGGCCCUAUGGAUGACUUAUACAUAGGAGGCUUUCCCGGUGGUGGGGCCCCAGUAGGAUUCAGUGUAGGAUGAUAGUAGACGGAGUCUUCAGGUUUAGGGUGCUUGACUCUCUCUUCUUCUUCUGCAGAUGUUCUCCUCCGAGGUGGCCCCAAAUGACUGAACAUGACUGGUGUCUCACCCUUCUCCUUCAUCUUCUCUUCAUAAUCCUUUCUCUUUUUCAAAACAAGGUUAAGUGUAUCCUCAAGUUGACGCUUCUUGUGUUUUCUUGCUUUAUCCAAAGCACCAUCAGCCUUCAUCAAUUCCAACUUCUCUAUUUGCUCCCUAAGCGCCUCAGGAUCCUUCUUCAAGAUGCCCACCUCCCUCACCUUCUUUCUUUCUUUUUUAUUCCGUUUUAAUUCUUUCUUGCGAAGCUCCUUACGAUAGGCGUCAGUGGGGUUCAUAACUUUGCCUCCUUUCGUCGUCUUCAUCUUGCAAAUAGAAAAAUUGAGGAACUUUGGCCUUACGUAUCUAUCAACGUCUCCUCAAAAAAAAAAGUAUUUUUUUUCUAAAUUAGCAACAAUAAUGAUUGAUAUACUUGUUCUUUGUGAUUGUUCAAUGUGGAAAUUUAAUUAGAAAUCAAAGACAGGAAGAGCUUGCAGAAACCCUUCUUCGCUUCCUUUUCUAUGGUUAAUCUGAUGCAGCUUAAUAUCUAAAAGGAGCAAAUU